This 254-nucleotide ribosomal RNA is filed under the name uncultured bacterium. Its description in RNAcentral is "partial 16S ribosomal RNA". It matches the Rfam family "Bacterial small subunit ribosomal RNA", at positions 524 to 776 of the family's 1533-position model. The record is from RNAcentral.
UACGGGGGGAGCAAGCGUUGUUCGGAUUUACUGGGCGUAAAGGGCGCGUAGGCGGCCUCUGCAAGUCGACUGUGAAAUCUCCGGGCUUAACCCGGAAAGGUCAGCCGAUACUGCAGGGCUAGAGUGCAGAAGGGGCAACUGGAAUUCUCGGUGUAGCGGUGAAAUGCGUAGAUAUCUGGAGGAACACCGGUGGCGAAGGCGGCAUCCUGGACCAACACUGACGCUGAUGAGCGAAAGCCAGGGGAGCAAACGGG